Molecule: ribosomal RNA, 518 nt
Filed under: Cronobacter sakazakii
Lineage: Bacteria; Pseudomonadati; Pseudomonadota; Gammaproteobacteria; Enterobacterales; Enterobacteriaceae
Description: partial 23S ribosomal RNA
Rfam family: Bacterial large subunit ribosomal RNA
Source: RNAcentral
UUAAGUUGCAGGGUAUAGACCCGAAACCCGGUGAUCUAGCCAUGGGCAGGUUGAAGGUUGGGUAACACUAACUGGAGGACCGAACCGACUAAUGUUGAAAAAUUAGCGGAUGACCUGUGGCUGGGGGUGAAAGGCCAAUCAAACCGGGAGAUAGCUGGUUCUCCCCGAAAGCUAUUUAGGUAGCGCCUCGUGAACUCAUCUCCGGGGGUAGAGCACUGUUUCGGCUAGGGGCCAUCCCGGCUUACCAACCCGAUGCAAACUGCGAAUACCGGAGAAUGUUAUCACGGGAGACACACGGCGGGUGCUAACGUCCGUCGUGAAGAGGGAAACAACCCAGACCGCCAGCUAAGGUCCCAAAGUCAUGGUUAAGUGGGAAACGAUGUGGGAAGGCCCAGACAGCCAGGAUGUUGGCUUAGAAGCAGCCAUCAUUUAAAGAAAGCGUAAUAGCUCACUGGUCGAGUCGGCCUGCGCGGAAGAUGUAACGGGGCUAAACCAUGCACCGAAGCUGCGGCAGCGAC